GAGAGUCGAAGCCGGCGAGCUGUGACACUCACCCUCUGCAGAUGGAGGCCCUCCAUGCUGACACUGCCUCCUGCCCUGUCUUUAGUUCUUGUCAGUGCUGACUCUGGGACUGGGAUCAUCCACUCCAGAACCCCCACAGGACCCCAGCAUCCUUCCAAGCCCUGAGGAGGUGCCAGGAACAGGGCCACUCCCUGAGGAUUUCCCAACAGUGCUGUCCUCUGGGUAGAGGGUGAGGUCACUGUGCUGGCCUGGAUGAGCAGAAGCCUGGUCAAGAGAAGUGGGCCUGGAGGUUGAUAAGGAGAGGCUCCCAGCAGGUGAGAAGGUGCUGAGUCUUGCCUAUGCUUUACCGUGCGCUGAGCUGCACCACCAACCCCAGGCGUGAAACUUUCCUCUUGGUUCCACCUUGAAGUCCAGCCUGAAUGGGAGGAAGUCAGAAAAGUAACAGAGCACCAGAGGUAAACAAUGAGCUGCAAUUCUGAAUGGAGGCUGCCGGCCAGCAGGCUUCGGAGCUGAGGCAGGGUCCCUGGUGGCUCCGCGUACUAGUUGUAAAACACAGUAACUACUGGUGCCUGACUAGCGAUUGUGUGGUGUGAGAGUAAGCUGUUGACCUUACCCAGAUCAGUCUCUUCCUGCCACCACUCGGCCUCAUUGCCUUCUCUCAGAACUGAGUAUCACCUCUGCCCAAUGCCUUGCCACUCUGGGCAGGGGGAUUUGAAGUAAGCAGAGAUGGGGUUGACUCCCUCUGGGUCCAGAGAAGAUGUGGCGGGUGCCUUAGUCCCUGUAUUAUUGUGUGGAGUAUGAACAGGCUCAUGCUCGGUUUCCAGACUGGAGCCUCUAAGAAGUAGGACCGGUUGGGAGUAGGUCAUUAGGACAGGCCAUUUCAGAGGGUUGGAAUCUCUGAGUUCUGGCCACUGUUGACUUAAAUUCUUAUUAGGAGUCUCCGUCACACACUUCCUCUGCUGUGAAGUCAACCAUGCCCUCUCCACCCAUGAUGGACUGAAACGCCUCUCAAACUAUGAGCCCAAAUGAGUCUUUGCUCCCUUAAUCUGUUUCUGCCCACUACUGGGGCACAGGGAUUAAAAAAAUCAAACAGUACAGGCCUGAGGAGAUGGCUGUGCCUGUAAAGCCCUUAUACAAUGGCUGGGUGCGGUAGCAUGUGCCAGUAUCACCAGCUCUGAGGAGGAAGAGAUAGGAGGCUCCUUGAGGUUUGUCAAGCUAGUUUACUUGGUGUCAGAGACAUUCUCUCAAAGCAAGCAAGCAAACAAGCAGCAACAAACAACAACAACAACAAACUCACAACAACUUGGUAAGAUGGCUCAGCAAAUAAAGGCCCUUGCUGUCACGCCUGAUGUCCCGAGUUCUAGUCCAGGGACCAGCACCCACACCAGUUAGCUUACAACAGCCUGUAACUCCCCCUUCAGGUGUCUGUCACUCUUCUGGCCUCUGCAGACACCCAUACACACUUGCUGAGACCACCAGAAGCUGUAACUGGACAAUGGCUACGAGAAGACUUGCAGCACGUCUCAAGCUUUUGUGUGCACACUAGUCACCAGAAGAUCUUAUUAAAAUGCGGGUUCUGAGUCGACAUAGCGGUCUGGGCUGCCGCUGCCACCACUGUGGAUCACACCUUCUCAAGACAUGUGGCAGUAGCUUGGGUGAAGUCUCUCUUAGCUGGCUAUCUAUCUCACCACCUCCUCUCUCUCUUCUCAGCUCAGGAGAAGGUCUGGGAUUUCCAGAAUGAAAUGUGGGCCAAUGAAACCCAAGUGGAGCCAAGUAGCAAUUGAGGCUGCAGGACACAAAGCCCAACAACCUUCCAGAGCUGUCCUGUUCCCGCAUGCGCCCGUUUGUCUGGUUCCAGGAGCUAACAAAGAUGGCCCCACUGCAUGCAUUCAGAACCUCUCCUGGAGGAAAAUGAGCUGUUCUCAGGGCCGGAAACUCUGGGUUUCUUUUGGUUAGCAACUUGUCUUCAUUCCUGUACCAGGCUCACUAUGCACAGUCCAACAUCUGCUUUACACAGCCCUCCACCUCCGUCUCUUGGUCUCUGUCUCUCUAUCUCUCUGUUCUUCCCUCCCUCUCACCCUUCCUCCUUCCUUCCCUCCUUCCCUCCCUUCCAGACACAUACAGCAGCCAUGAAAUUCAACUGAAGUUAAAGGUAGCUGGAUUGAGCAGAGAUGCUCCUCCUCUCCUGUGACCCACCUCUGUGGGAGUGUGUAGUGACCUCUCUUCCUCCAAGAAACCUCUCUGCACAGAAUUCUAGCUCCAGUGUUACUCCCCCCAACCCCCGCAUGUCACUUUUGAUGCUCAAUCGCCAUGCCCAUAUUUGACUGAAGGACUAAAGCAAGAUUUCUCCAAAUGUGGUUCCCAGGGCUGGGAAGAUGGCUUGGUGAGUAAAGUGCUUGGUCUGCAAGCUUAAGAACUGGAGUUUGGAUCUGCCUUAAGCUUCCCUUUGAAAUCCAGAUAGAAGGAGUGAGUACAUGAGCCAGCACCCCAGAAAAAGCCAGGGGUGGCAUGUACUGGGGAUAAGGAGAGACAGGAGGGGCCCUGGGGCUGCUUUCUAGUCUUAUGCUCAGUCAGUGAGCUCAGGCUAAGUGAGAGACCCUGCUUCCAGGUGGAGAGUGACAGAGGGAGACACUGGAUCUUUAUCUCUGGCCUUCACAUGCACACUUGUUCACACAUGGCCACACAUAUGGGCUUAUACCACACACACACACACACACACACACACACACACACACACACACUCGUCCAUUCAUCACAACAUCACCAUUACUCUUCGAAGGAGGGAGCUGUUAGAUACACAGACUCCUGAGCUCUGCCCAGACUCUUGGAGAUUUCACCAGCGUCCUUGGGAACAGUGGAAAGUCUGCAUGGCUGAUGACUCGGGAACUGAGUGUAGACAGCUUAUAUCUUUUCCUCCUGGUCUUCUAUCCAGGUUGUGCUCUCUUUGUGUCCACCCUAUUGUGUCAGUGUUUCUGAGCAUACGCUGCCUUAAGCGUCCCUUCGGGAUCUAGGCAGGAGGAGGAGUGAAUACAGGAGCUUCUCAUGUGGUUAGGUGUUGAAGGGACACACCCUGCACCCUGGAUACUCUUGUCAUCUCACCCACUCUCAAGCAUACCUCAAUAUACAAUUGUCCAGAGAAUCUAUCUGUAGAGCCUCGGCUGAGCCAGUGGGGCUCCAGACCCGCAUCCAAGAAGCAUCCUAUACCAUCAGUCAUGCCCAGUUGAGAGCCAGGCCUUCACAUUUGGUCCCAGAGAAGUGUUCAUUGCAUCUGACUCCCUGUAAAUAAUAUGGGUUUUCUCUAGACAUCCCAUCAUUGGAAACUUUGAGUCUCUUUGGGUUACUCUUUUCCUAGACCCAGAAUCAUUCCAAAGUGUGAAUGGAGGCUAAGGACUUAUCUCAGCUGGUACAAUGUUUAUUUCCUAUGCAGGAGGCCCUGGGUUCAAUUCCUAGCACCACAUAAACUUGGUGUGGUAGUGUUUUCUAUAACCCCAGAACUUGGGAGGUGGAGACAGCAGGAUAAGAAGUUCAAUGUUAUUAGCAGCUACAUAGUGAGUAGGAGGCCAGCCUGGAAUAUAUGAUAAUACUGACUUAAACCUAACCUAACCAAACUGAACCAAACCUAACCAAACCUAAACAAGCCAAACCUAAAGUAAGCUAGGUAAAGUAUGAGUGGAUCGCAUAUUCUGGGUUACUGGGGCACUGCUUACUGGGCACCUACCUUUGUGGGACCUUUAAGGGACCUUUAAAGGACCUUUAAGGGGCAGGGCUUAGGGAAUGUGUCUGGGGCUCUGCCCUUGGCAGAAAUUAGUUUUUUUCUCCUGGGAGAUCUGACUGGGAACACACCUGGUUCUACCCCUCUUGUUGGUUCCUCCCUUCUUGCUGGCUCCUCCCCUCCUGCCAGCCUCCUUUUUACUGCAAGUCUUGUCCUCUUGCACAGGCUCCCACAUUGUAAUGCUGUCAUCCUAGAAGACUUCACCAGAGCUGAGCUGAUACCUACACGAACUUCCAGAACUGUGAGCUAAAAAUACACCUCUUCACCAAGUUACCUGUGGUGGUUUGAAUGUCAUUGGCUCCUAUAGGCCCAUAGGGAAUGGCAUCAUUAGAAGGUGUGGCCUUGUUGAAGUAUGUCAUUGUGGUGAUGGGCUUUGGAUCUUAUAUGCUCAAGCUGCACUCAAUGUUGAAAGACAUUUUCCUGCUGCCUCUGGGUCAAGAUGUAGAACUCUCAGCUCCUUCUCUAGCACCUGCACAGUGCCAUGCUUCCCACCGUGAUGAUAAUGGACUAACUUCUUUUUUUUUAAUUAGGUAUUUUCCUCGUUUACAUUUCCAAUGCUAUCCCAAAAGUCCCCCUUACCCACCCCCACAAGCCCCUACCCACCCACUCCCCCUUUUUGGCCCUGGCGUUCCCCUGUACUGGGGCAUAUAAAGUUUGCAAGGAUAAUGGACUAACUUCUAAAACUGUAAGCCAGCCUCAAUUAAAUGCUUUCCUAUGU
Molecule: long non-coding RNA, 4490 nt
Organism: Mus musculus (house mouse)
Lineage: Eukaryota; Metazoa; Chordata; Mammalia; Rodentia; Muridae
Product: predicted gene 1600
Exons: 3
Source: RefSeq, marked validated